Molecule: transfer RNA, 76 nt
Filed under: Caudoviricetes sp.
Lineage: Duplodnaviria; Heunggongvirae; Uroviricota; Caudoviricetes
Description: tRNA-Asp
Rfam family: tRNA
About the family: Transfer RNA (tRNA) molecules are approximately 80 nucleotides in length. Their secondary structure includes four short double-helical elements and three loops (D, anti-codon, and T loops).
Source: RNAcentral
GCGGUGGUAGCUCGGUGGGUUAGAGUCCCGGCCUGUCCCGCCGGGGGUCGCGGGUUCGAGCCCCGUCCGCCGCGCC